AGAGUUUGAUCAUGGCUCAGAGCGAACGCUGGCGGCAGGCUUAACACAUGCAAGUCGAGCGGGCGUAGCAAUACGUCAGCGGCAGACGGGUGAGUAACGCGUGGGAACGUACCUUUUGGUUCGGAACAACACAGGGAAACUUGUGCUAAUACCGGAUAAGCCCUUACGGGGAAAGAUUUAUCGCCGAAAGAUCGGCCCGCGUCUGAUUAGCUAGUUGGUGAGGUAACGGCUCACCAAGGCGACGAUCAGUAGCUGGUCUGAGAGGAUGAUCAGCCACAUUGGGACUGAGACACGGCCCAAACUCCUACGGGAGGCAGCAGUGGGGAAUAUUGGACAAUGGGCGCAAGCCUGAUCCAGCCAUGCCGCGUGAGUGAUGAAGGCCCUAGGGUUGUAAAGCUCUUUUGUGCGGGAAGAUAAUGACGGUACCGCAAGAAUAAGCCCCGGCUAACUUCGUGCCAGCAGCCGCGGUAAUACGAAGGGGGCUAGCGUUGCUCGGAAUCACUGGGCGUAAAGGGUGCGUAGGCGGGUCUUUAAGUCAGGGGUGAAAUCCUGGAGCUCAACUCCAGAACUGCCUUUGAUACUGAGGAUCUUGAGUUCGGGAGAGGUGAGUGGAACUGCGAGUGUAGAGGUGAAAUUCGUAGAUAUUCGCAAGAACACCAGUGGCGAAGGCGGCUCACUGGCCCGAUACUGACGCUGAGGCACGAAAGCGUGGGGAGCAAACAGGAUUAGAUACCCUAGUAGUCC
Molecule: ribosomal RNA, 744 nt
Filed under: uncultured bacterium
Lineage: Bacteria
Description: bacterial SSU rRNA
Rfam family: Bacterial small subunit ribosomal RNA
Source: RNAcentral